Molecule: ribosomal RNA, 484 nt
Filed under: uncultured bacterium
Lineage: Bacteria
Description: partial 16S ribosomal RNA
Rfam family: Bacterial small subunit ribosomal RNA
Source: RNAcentral
AUUGAACGCUGGCGGCAGGCCUAACACAUGCAAGUCGAGCGGAUGAAGCGUUCUUGCUCUUGGCUUCUGCCGCAGACGUGUGUGUCAUGCCUAUGAACCUCCCUCGUCGUUGGGGUUAACCUCCGGAACCGGUCCCUAAUACCGCUUACUUCCUGUGCUACAAAGUGGGGGUUCUUCGGACCUCACGCUUUCAGAUGAGCCUAGGUCGUAUUAGCUAGUUGGCGGGGUAAAGGCCUACCAAGGCGACGAUCCGUAACUGGUCUGAGAGGAUGAUCAGUCACACUGGGACUGAGACACGGUACAGACACCGAGAGGAGGCAGAAGUGGGGAAUGGUGGAAGAAGGGCGGAAUACUGAACAAGGCAUGCAGGGUGUGUGAAGAAGGGCUUCGGAUUGGAAAGCACUUUAAGUGGGGAGGAAGGGCAGUAAGAUAAUACCUGGUUGCUUUGACGUUACCAACAGAAUAAGCACCGGCUAACUUCGUG